RNAcentral lists this ribosomal RNA (207 nucleotides) under uncultured bacterium. RNAcentral describes it as "partial 16S ribosomal RNA". It matches the Rfam family "Bacterial small subunit ribosomal RNA", at positions 568 to 774 of the family's 1533-position model. The record is from RNAcentral.
CGCGUAGGCGGCUCUUCAAGUCAAAGGUGAAAUCCCUCGGCUCAACCGGGGAACUGCCUUUGAUACUGUCGAGCUUGAGUCCCGGAGAGGGUAGCGGAAUUCCGAGUGUAGCGGUGAAAUGCGUAGAUACUCGGAGGAACAUCCGUGGCGAAGGCGGCUACCUGGACGGGUACUGACGCUGAGGCGCGAAAGCUAGGGGAGCAAACA